This is a long non-coding RNA of Gadus macrocephalus (Pacific cod), 571 nucleotides long. RefSeq lists it as uncharacterized. Lineage: Eukaryota; Metazoa; Chordata; Actinopteri; Gadiformes; Gadidae. The transcript is spliced from 2 exons. The record is from RefSeq and is a predicted model, not a curated record.
UUCCUUUGCUCCAAAGAAAAUCUCAGCCCUAGCCCUCGCUGUUGCGCGUGCACGCACCGUGGAGCAAUGUCCCAUUACUGUUUAACUGUAGUUUAAGGGGUAGGAGGGAGGGCUAACAUCCCCUCAAAAUUGAGAUUUUCGAUGGGCACCCUCAAAGCGCUUCAGUUGUGACUUGCUCCCACAAUACCUUGCGAGAAAACGGAAAAUCAAGAAAUAUCCUAGACAAGAUGGAGGACAAAAAGAUGCGACAGGAUUGGAAAAACACAAAUGACUUCGUUGAGUCCACUGCCACCAGCCCCCCCCACCUCUCCCUCAUGCUCCUCCACCCCAGGCACCUCUUCCACCACCCCAGACACCCCUUCCAAGAGGAGAGUGCCAGGGGGCAGGCGAGGCAUGAGGAGAGCGAGGCAAAGUUGGCGAAAUGGUGGAGAAGAUGUGAUUCUCCACCAUUCUCUCAAAAGCUGAGAGAGAGAGAGUGUGUGUGUGUGUGUGUAUUUUUAGGUGUGUGUUUGUGUGUAUUUUUAGAUGUGUGGUUCAGUGUUUCUUAUUUAAAUAAAGGGUUUCUUCUAAA